GCCUUGAUGGUGAAAUGGUAGAGACGCGAGACUCAAAAUCUCAUGCUGAAGAGCGUGGAGGUUCGAGUCCUCUUCAAGGCA
Molecule: non-coding RNA, 81 nt
Organism: Triticum aestivum (bread wheat)
Lineage: Eukaryota; Viridiplantae; Streptophyta; Magnoliopsida; Poales; Poaceae
Source: Rfam